UAGCCCAGAUUUACAUUCUUAUCUCAAAAUAACCUGCAAUACAUUUCCUUUAUACCAAAUAACAAUCCAAGCAAUUCAAUUCACAGCAACAAUCCAUAUUAAUACAACAUAUAGACUAACUAGUUUCUAUGAACUUUAUAAAGAUUAGACUUACCUUUCAUUUGUCGCAAAUUUUAAGUAUGAUAAUGCUUGAAUGUAUUUCAAUUGCUAAAAUAGAUUUCAAUCCAGCAGCAAAUUUCGAUUCCCAGGAGCUCCCAUUUCUUCAGUAGAACUAAGGAAGCUUUGAAGAGUUAUGGAAUUAAUUUGGAAACUUUAACACAAUUCCUUUUCUUCUUCUUCUUUUGGAACGAAUGAAGCAGGGCUAUUUUUUAUUUUUUAUUUUUUAUUUCCUUACUUUCGGGACGAUUAGGAGACGAGAAUUGAACGUUUGGGACUGAGAAA
Molecule: long non-coding RNA, 441 nt
Filed under: Panax ginseng (ginseng)
Lineage: Eukaryota; Viridiplantae; Streptophyta; Magnoliopsida; Apiales; Araliaceae
Description: long non-coding RNA (PGIN_LNC005008)
Source: RNAcentral